AUUCCGGUUGAUCCUGCCGGAGGACAUUGCUAUUGGGAUUCGAUUUAGCCAUGCUAGUCGAGCGAGUUUAGACUCGCGGCGAAUAGCUCAGUAACACGUGGCCAAGCUCCCCUUCAGUCAGCGAUACCCUCGGGAAACUGAGGUUAACAGCUGAUACAAAACGCCAGCUGGAAUGCGGCGUUUCAGAAAGACAUCGCUGAAGGAUGCGGCUGCGGCCGAUUAGGUAGACGGUGGGGUAACGGCCCACCGUGCCAGUAAUCGGUACGGGUGAUGAGAGUCAGAGCCCGGAGACGGAAUCUGAGACAAGAUUCCGGGCCCUACGGGGCGCAGCAGGCGCGAAACCUUUACACUGCACGGAAGUGCGAUAGGGGAAUCCCAAGUGCGAGGGCAUAUUAGCCCUCGCUUUUCUCGACUGUAAGGUGGUCGACGAAUAAGAGCUGGGCAAGACCGGUGCCAGCCGCCGCGGUAAUACCGGCAGCUCAAGUGAUGC
Molecule: ribosomal RNA, 490 nt
Filed under: uncultured haloarchaeon
Lineage: Archaea; Methanobacteriati; Methanobacteriota; Halobacteria; Halobacteriales; Halobacteriaceae
Description: bacterial SSU rRNA
Rfam family: Archaeal small subunit ribosomal RNA
Source: RNAcentral